UUUUUUUUUUUUUUUUUUUUUUGCUUCUCUCAAACUCCCCAAAACAACCAAAACUUUGUCUCUGAAGUGAUUUCAAGCCCAGUGAAUGGGAGAGAAAUUAUUAUUGGGCUUUUCCAAUUAUGGUUGGCAUAGUCAGCUAGCUGAGUCAUUAACAAAGCAACCCAACAUGGGUGAUGCCUUGAAGGAGCUGAAUCCCUGAAGUUUGCUAUACUGCUUGCAGGCAGUGCUACCAGGGAGUCAUCUCUCCCUCAUGAACUGGUUCUUGCUUAUACAACCCCAUUGGGAACACUGUGAGUCCCAUAACCUCCUUCUGAGUUAGUUUCAGAUUGGAGGUAAUAUACAGCUGUAGGUCAAGCCAGGGAUAGCAUAGUAGGAAUCUACUGUUUCCUGACUGGAGAAAUGAAUGAUGCCUGACAGAGAGUGAGACUGAGGGAGGCUGUCCAUCAAGAGAUAGACUAGUGAGAUGUGUGCACUUGGCAUUCUUUGGACAAUGCCUUUCAUGCCAUAUAUACUUUAUGUUUCAUUUUUAAAAAUCCUCAAAAGAGAAACAAAAUGUUUAAAUGUAUUGGUACAAUGCUAUUCUUACAAUAAAAUACCCUAGGAAAAGCAAAUGGGAAAGAAAGGGUCAUUUUAGCUCAUAGUUCCGUAGUAUGGUUCAUGGUGGUAAAAUGUUGCAGUGUCAAGAGCCUGCAACAAGAGUGCACACCUAUCGACAGUCAAGAGCAGGAGUCUCAGAGCAUUUUUGCUAGUGCACAGUUCACUUUCUCCAUUCUUUUACAACCAGGGUCCCUGCUUAGGAAAUGGAGCAACUUAACCGUGCUAAGUCUCUUCAUCUUAAUUAAUAUAACUAUGACAGUAUCCCACAGCUAUUGUGAAAGGCUAACCUGAUUCAGAUGAUGCCUCCUUGAGACUUUCCUACCAGAUGAUUGAAGAUUGUGCUAAAUUGAGAAUUGUUUUAAAGUUCCAUGGGUGUGCUCCACAAUACCUAGUCUUUGAGAAUAAUAAGGAAUCCCAGUAAUAUGACAAGUAUUAAAUUGUUAACAAAACAUCACAAAUGCCUGACUGUAAUGGCCAGUAACUUUAUGUCUUCCUGUCAUUUUGAACAUCAAGAAUAGAAAAACAAUGUAGGCAAUGACUAGUUCCUUAUUUAGUUGCUUAUCCUGUUAAAGCAGUUGCAAAUAGAAAGCAUGAGAAGAUAUCAAUAGUCAUAUGUACAUUGUUUAACAUUUUUUAAAAUUCAGAUACAUAAGUAACAUCUAUUUGCCAUACUUGAUUAGGUAUGUGUUCUCAAGGAUUAACACCAUUAUGUAGUACAGGAAGAAAUUGAGGACACUGAAGACAAGUUUUUAUAAAUUGACAUGCACAUUUUCUAGAAAUACCAAAUUGUUGUCUCAACCUAUUAGUAUUUUAAUGAUGUAUAGAAUGAGAGUGUUUCUUUUAGUGCAUUUGACUAUGCCAGGGCCUAGCAAACACAAAAGUGGAUGCUCACAGUCAGCUAUUGGAUGGAUCACAGGGCCCCCAAUGGAGCAGCUAGAGAAAGCACCCAAGGAGCUAAAGGGAACUGCAACCCUAUAGGUGGGACAACAAUAUGAAUGAACCAGUACCCCGGAGCUCUUGUCUCUAGAUGCAUAUGUAUCAAAAGAUGGCCUAGUCGGCCAUCACUGGAAAGAGAGCCAUUGGUCAUGCAAAUUUUAUAUGCCCCAGUACAGGGGAACGCCAUGGCCAAAAAGUGGGAGUGGGUCGGUAGUGGAGUAGGGGGAGGGAAUGGGGGACUUUUGGGAUAGCAUUGGAAAUGUAAAUGAGGAAAAUACCUAAUUAAAAAUAUUUAAAAAAAAGAGCACUGACUGGUCUUCCGAAGGUCCUGAGUUCAAAUCCCAGCAUCCACAUGGUGGCUCACAACCAUCUGUACUGAGAUCUGAUGCCCUCUUCUGGAGUGUCUGAAGACAGCUACAGUGUACUUACAUACAAUAAACAAACAAAUAAAUAAAAAAUAGAAUUUUAAAAAUGAAAAACAAACAAACAAACAAAAAGAAUGAGAGUGUGUGGCGGAACUAUUCCUGUGUAAUGCCUAUACUCUGCCUGAUAUGCAAACCUGCUGUGGCAUUGCCCUCAUUAAGGGGUCUGGGUUCCUGUUCCCCCUAGGCCAUUGUAAACACUUGUAUAUGGGUGUAACUCAGCUAUCUAUAGUUCUAAGUAUCUACUCUGGUUCCUCCUUAGGUCACUAACUUCCCUCUUCCUAGAUAAUGGUAAAUUCCUACAUAGGGCAGUGACUUAGCUAUCCAUGCCCAGGGUCGGAUCAAUGACUGCCUAGAAUCUAACUUAGCUCUAUG
RNAcentral lists this long non-coding RNA (2330 nucleotides) under Mus musculus (house mouse). RNAcentral's name for it is "long non-coding RNA chr2:177936688-177939018". Lineage: Eukaryota; Metazoa; Chordata; Mammalia; Rodentia; Muridae. The record is from RNAcentral.